RNAcentral lists this ribosomal RNA (497 nucleotides) under uncultured bacterium. RNAcentral's name for it is "partial 16S ribosomal RNA". It matches the Rfam family "Bacterial small subunit ribosomal RNA", at positions 28 to 507 of the family's 1533-position model. The record is from RNAcentral.
GAUGAACGCUGGCGGCGUGCCUAAUACAUGCAAGUCGAGCGAACAGACGAGGAGCUUGCUCCUCUGACGUUAUCGGCGGACGGGUGAGUAACACGUGGAUAACCUACCUAUAAGACUGGGAUAACUUCGGGAAACCGGAGCUAAUACCGGAUAAUAUAUUGAACCGCAUGGUUCAAUAGUGAAAGACGGUUUUGCUGUCACUUAUAGAUGGAUCCGCGCCGCAUUAGCUAGUUGGUAAGGUAACGGCUUACCAAGGCAACGAUGCGUAGCCGACCUGAGAGGGUGAUCGGCAACACUGGAACUGGGAAACGGUCCAGACUCCUACGGGAGGAAGCAGUAGGGAAUCUUCCGCAAUGGGCGAAAGCUUGACGGAGCAACGCCGCGUGAGUGAUGAAGGUCUUCGGAUCGUAAAACUCUGUUAUUAGGGAAGAACAAAUGUGUAAGUAACUAUGCACGUCUUGACGGUACCUAAUCAGAAAGCCACGGCUAACUACGUG